GAUGAACGCUGGCGGCGUGCCUAAUACAUGCAAGUCGAGCGAACGGACGAGAAGCUUGCUUCUCUGAUGUUAGCGGCGGACGGGUGAGUAACACGUGGAUAACCAACCUAUAAGACUGGGAUAACUUCGGGAAACCGGAGCUAAUACCGGAUAAUAUUUUGAACCGCAUGGUUCAAAAGUGAAAGACGGUCUUGCUGUCACUUAUAGAUGGAUCCGCGCUGCAUUAGCUAGUUGGUAGGGUAACGGCUUACCAAGGCAACGAUGCAUAGCCGACCUGAGAGGGUGAUCGGCCACACUGGAACUGAGACACGGUCCAGACUCCUACGGGAGGCAGCAGUAGGGAAUCUUCCGCAAUGGGCGAAAGCCUGACGGAGCAACGCCGCGUGAGUGAUGAAGGUCUUCGGAUCGUAAAACUCUGUUAUUAGGGAAGAACAUAUGUGUAAGUAACUGUGCACAUCUUGACGGUACCUAAUCAGAAAGCCACGGCUAACUACGUG
Molecule: ribosomal RNA, 497 nt
Filed under: uncultured bacterium
Lineage: Bacteria
Description: partial 16S ribosomal RNA
Rfam family: Bacterial small subunit ribosomal RNA
Source: RNAcentral